AAUCCGCAGGCGGAGUUCUUCUGAGACUUCAGGCUUUAGGAAAGAUUCUAGAGAUAGCUACCGGCAGAUCCCGGAUAUUUCAGAUCCGCAGACACAUCCACCCACUGAGUGACUUGAAUUUCUUUUCUCGAACAUAACUCCAGGCUAUGCUUUUAUUGAAUGCAGUGUAAUUACUAGAGUUUCACAGUGCUCUGGGAGUUCUGAGGAACCAUCUCUUGUGACCAGGAGACUUCGCAGUAGAUGUGCAGUACAUCUGAGAUAAGCCUUGAAGAACAGGCAGCCACCUGCCCUCCCUAGAAGGCCUUCCGGGGUGGCAGAAGUUAGUGCUGACUCCCUGGCCGCUCACGCCCUCGUCAUCUUUGAGAGCAGGCUGCUUCCGGAUGGUCUAACACGCUGGAGGCGGUUUCUCACAUAGGAAGGUGAAGAUGGAGUUAAAUCCUGUGUUCCGACCAAUGACAUUUAGGUGGAAGAUUAGAUGAUGCAGAGAAAAAUCUGGAUAUCUAAAUCCUUAUUACUCAAGUGUGGGCCAAGCAUGGACAUCACCUGGAAGCUUGUUGGAACUGAGAAGUCUCAGGCCCCACCCCAGACCCACUGAAUCAGACUUUGCAUUUUAACACAACCCCCAGGGCAUUCCCAGCCAUAUUAAAGUUUGGGGAGCUCCUGGGUGUCCAUGCAGCGCCUGUCCACACUUCCACAGGUAACAUCCGUACCUUAGACGUACAUCACAUCCCGUCCAGUAUGGAAGUCUGUGCCUGUGAUUUCUUUUCCCGCCAGGCCGGGAAUUCCUGGAAGGUACACACCAACCAUUGUGUAUGGGCCUGGACCUCUCUUUGCAUCGAGCACAAUGACAGGAAGCAGAAGACCUGGGUUUCGGUCCUGCUUCUGCCAUUUAAAGCUUGCGUGUGUUGCAUCUUCUGUGAGAGAAUUU
Long non-coding RNA from Artibeus jamaicensis (Jamaican fruit-eating bat), 928 nucleotides. RefSeq lists it as uncharacterized. The record is from RefSeq and is a predicted model, not a curated record. The transcript has 5 exons. Lineage: Eukaryota; Metazoa; Chordata; Mammalia; Chiroptera; Phyllostomidae.